UGAGCUUGAUGAGUAGGGCGGGACACGUGGUAUCCUGUCUGAAUAUGGGGGGACCAUCCUCCAAGGCUAAAUACUCCUGACUGACCGAUAGUGAACCAGUACCGUGAGGGAAAGGCGAAAAGAACCCCGGCGAGGGGAGUGAAAAAGAACCUGAAACCGUGUACGUACAAGCAGUGGGAGCACGCUUAGGCGUGUGACUGCGUACCUUUUGUAUAAUGGGUCAGCGACUUAUAUUCUGUAGCAAGGUUAACCGAAUAGGGGAGCCGAAGGGAAACCGAGUCUUAACUGGGCGUUAAGUUGCAGGGUAUAGACCCGAAACCCGGUGAUCUAGCCAUGGGCAGGUUGAAGGUUGGGUAACACUAACUGGAGGACCGAACCGACUAAUGUUGAAAAAUUAGCGGAUGACUUGUGGCUGGGGGUGAAAGGCCAAUCAAACCGGGAGAUAGCUGGUUCUCCCCGAAAGCUAUUUAGGUAGCGCCUCGUGAAUUCAUCUCCGGGGGUAGAGCACUGUUUCGGCA
This 518-nucleotide ribosomal RNA is filed under the name Shigella sonnei. RNAcentral's name for it is "partial 23S ribosomal RNA". It matches the Rfam family "Bacterial large subunit ribosomal RNA", at positions 400 to 920 of the family's 2925-position model. The record is from RNAcentral. Lineage: Bacteria; Pseudomonadati; Pseudomonadota; Gammaproteobacteria; Enterobacterales; Enterobacteriaceae.